AAAACUUAACAAUUAUUUGCAAAGUAAGAAUGCAGUGGCAGAUAAGAGUUCUGAAGAAGAGUCUUUAAGCAGUAUUUCCAUUAAACCUGGUACUGAUGAUUCAUGGCCUACAUCAGAUGAUGAAGACUUUAAUUUUGAUAUCAAGGUAAAGUACUCUUGUGAAAUUUGUUUUCCUG
This is a long non-coding RNA of Neomonachus schauinslandi (Hawaiian monk seal), 176 nucleotides long. RefSeq lists it as uncharacterized. The record is from RefSeq and is a predicted model, not a curated record. Lineage: Eukaryota; Metazoa; Chordata; Mammalia; Carnivora; Phocidae. The transcript has 3 exons.